UAACCAAUCACGCCUAGCGUGGACUUGGGGUUCGCGUCCCGCGGCCCUUAAAACCAGGGCGGUGCCCGCUGGGCUCUAAGCGUAGUAAUUUUCCUCGCUUUUGGGCCCCGCGGGUGCUCGCCACAACCCCUAAUUUUCUCA
Molecule: unclassified non-coding RNA, 141 nt
Filed under: uncultured Helotiales
Lineage: Eukaryota; Fungi; Ascomycota; Leotiomycetes; Helotiales
Description: sequence contains ITS2
Source: RNAcentral